GAUGAACGCUGGCUACAGGCUUAACACAUGCAAGUCGAGGGGAAACGGCAUUGAGUGCUUGCACUGAAUGGACGUCGACCGGCGCACGGGUGAGUAACGCGUAUCCAGCCUUCCCGUUACUGCGGGAUAACCUGCCGAAAGGCAGACUAAUACCGCAUGUUCUUCGAUGACGGCAUCAGAUUCGAAGCAAAGAUCCGUCGGUAACGGAGGGGGAUGCGUCUGAUUAGCUAGUUGGCGGGGCGACGGCCCACCAAGGCGACGAUCAGUAGGGGUUCUGAGAGGAAGGUCCCCCACAUUGGAACUGAGACACGGUCCAAACUCCUACGGGAGGCAGCAGUGAGGAAUAUUGGUCAAUGGGCGGAAGCCUGAACCAGCCAAGUAGCGUGCAGGAUGACGGCCCUACGGGUUGUAAACUGCUUUUAUGCGGGGAUAAAGUGAGGGACGCGUCCCUUUUUGCAGGUACCGCAUGAAUAAGGACCGGCUAAUUCCGUG
This 492-nucleotide ribosomal RNA is filed under the name uncultured bacterium. RNAcentral describes it as "partial 16S ribosomal RNA". It matches the Rfam family "Bacterial small subunit ribosomal RNA", at positions 28 to 507 of the family's 1533-position model. The record is from RNAcentral.